CGGACGGGUGAGUAACACGUGGAUAACCUACCUAUAAGACUGGGAUAACUUCGGGAAACCGGAGCUAAUACCGGAUAAUAUUUUGAACCGCAUGGUUCAAAAGUAAAAGACGGUCUUGCUGUCACUUAUAGAUGGAUCCGCGCUGCAUUAGCUAGUUGGUAAGGUAACGGCAUACCAAGGCAACGAUGCAUAGCCGACCUGAGAGGGUGAUCGGCCACACUGGAACUGAGACACGGUCCAG
Molecule: ribosomal RNA, 241 nt
Filed under: uncultured Staphylococcus sp.
Lineage: Bacteria; Bacillati; Bacillota; Bacilli; Caryophanales; Staphylococcaceae
Description: partial 16S ribosomal RNA
Rfam family: Bacterial small subunit ribosomal RNA
Source: RNAcentral